CCUACGGGAGGCAGCAGUGAGGAAUAUUGGUCAAUGGACGAGAGUCUGAACCAGCCAAGCCGCGUGAAGGAUGACUGCCCUAUGGGUUGUAAACUCUUUCUACAUGGGAAUAAAAUGUUCCACGUGUGGGAGUUUGUAUGUACCAUAUGAAUAAGGAUAGGCUAACUACGUGCCAGCAGCCGCGGUAAUACGGAGGAUCCGAGCGUUAUCCGGAUUUAUUGGGUGUAAAGGGAGCGUAGGUGGAUUGUUAAGUCAGUUGUGAAAGUUUGCGGCUCAACCUUAAAAUUGCAGUUGAAACUGGCAGUCUUGAGUACAGGAGAGGUGAGUGGAAGUCGUGGUGUAGCGGUGAAAUGCUUAGAUAUCACGAAGAACUCCGAUUGCGAAGGCGGUUCACUGGACUGCAACUGACACUGAGGCUCGAAAGUGUGGGUAUCAAACAGGAUUAGAUACCCGUGUAGUC
RNAcentral lists this ribosomal RNA (460 nucleotides) under uncultured bacterium. RNAcentral describes it as "partial 16S ribosomal RNA". It matches the Rfam family "Bacterial small subunit ribosomal RNA", at positions 338 to 795 of the family's 1533-position model. The record is from RNAcentral.